RNAcentral lists this long non-coding RNA (1841 nucleotides) under Mus spicilegus (steppe mouse). RNAcentral's name for it is "lncRNA (ENSMSIG00000004271.1)". The record is from RNAcentral. Lineage: Eukaryota; Metazoa; Chordata; Mammalia; Rodentia; Muridae.
CUGCAUCACUCCACCAGCACGCUAAGUAUUCUAGUUAGCCACGCUUCCCCAGGCUAAGGACAACAGGUGCAGUUACAGGGGAAACUUACCAAGUAGGGCACAGAUUAGCUGACAGAGAGCUACUGCCCACAGGGCUUCAAGCAUGGAGCCUUUUAAUUAACUGGAACCAGUCUGUUCUUCUCCAGAGUUUUGACUUCGUUCUAGCAUCAUUUCCCAGGCUUGCUUUCUGUACCAGAGUCUGGGCCCGUGGUCAAAAAUGUGCUUUCCCUACCAUUUGUCCUCUGCUUGGUUUUCCUAACAGUAUUUGCCAGUUGGUGGUCAACAGAGCAGCCAGAUAAAAACCAUUUGCCCAGUCCCCUCAUUUGACCUUGGCUUUUUUUUUUUUUUUCUAGACUUGUCAUAUUGAGAGACGCACAAGCCGAGAUGAUGAGACCCCAGAGGUGAGAGAGGAGUGUGAUGCGGUGGAGGCGAAGCAAGCAGGAACCAUCACACCAGGUCCUGUAAGUUGUGCAGAGAGAGCUUGCUUGUUGACAAAACCCUGGCUGGUGUAGAGGAGGGUGGGAGAGGCCAGGGUGAGGCUGGGUUCCAAGAUGAACUUCACUGACCUCAGUUCCAGUUUUUAUUUUGCUAAGGGCCUCUCAUUUGGAUCCUGUUUCUGGUCCACGGCGUAUGGGCGGCAGCGCCUGGAAAAACCAUGACUUCAUCUCCCUGGCUCCACCUGUGAGCUUGCCUAAUCUCUUCAGGCUUCCGUGACACAGGGCCAGGAGCAAAGAGUUCCGGAUGUGACUGGUAAGGCUCUUGGCCAUCAUGCCUACUCAGUCAUGAAAGUCACCCUGGCCCAUGCUGCGGUUAACAACUGGCAUCCUCUAGAUGGGCAUCCUAAGUUGGGGUCUGUGUGUGCUGAGAUUACAGACGAAUGAGAGUGUGCCGGCGUGUCUGGCACUGCCUACUGGUCCCGCAAUGUCUGGUGCCACUAUUAACCCAAAUCAAGCCAGAAGUAGACUGCCAAAGACCCCCUCAUGCCUGAAUGACCCCAAAUGUCCUUGGAGCACAGUUGCUGAGCAUCCCACUGCAUCUUGAGUAUCAAUGGGCAACCCGGCCGGCAUGAUAUGUCCGGAAAUGAACCCUGAGUUAUACCGUGAGCAUCGGACUGGCAGCCACUGAGCUGUGGAAGUGAUCAGAGCAUGGCCCGGUGGCUUGAAAGAGGUGCUGAGCAAUUUGAGAGUGCCCAGAGCAGGAAGGGUAGGGACCGUGACAACAGAGGAGAGUUGAUAAAAGGAGCCAGGAAAGGGAACAUGAAAAAUCCCACAGGCCUGUCCAGUCUUCUAGGCACAAGGUCUUAAGACCCUGGGCUGAGAUUUUGUAACACUGGCCACUGCUAAGGGCUAAGGAGAUAACCAAAGCCCCCACAGAGACUAAAAGUAGAGGGCGCCACUUCCUACUACUCCCCCAGCUCAGCUACUGCUCUCUGCUGUCAUAUCCCGAGGGCAACAAAGGCUCCUGGAGACAAGCAGUUGAAGUCUCUUGCAUACAGGUGAUUUCCAUCAACUAGAAUGAAACAAAAUCAAAAACCUUCCAACUAGCCAGGUAGCCUGUGCUACUGAAAGUAGGCAAGGAAGGCCACACAAGGGUAAGUUCAGGUCUAAAGUACAGUAAUAGAGAGGACAGCACAGGGGGAGAGCUGACUGAGGGAGACUGGGCAGCCUGUUUAGUAAUUUUGUAUUUUUCUGCAAGCCUAAGAGCAAUCGCCACGUUGUGCUUGAGUUCGAGAAAGCGAUCUAUAAAGGCAAGCAGGCUCAGCCAGUGCCGUUAGAGAUGGCUUUCAGCUGUCUGGCUGUAUA